AUACGGAGGGUGCGAGCGUUGUUCGGAAUCACUGGGCGUAAAGCGCGUGUAGGCGGAUCGGUAAGUCGGAUGUGAAAUCCCUGGGCUCAACCCAGGAGGUGCAUUCGAUACUGUCGGUCUUGAGUACGUGAGAGGAGAGCGGAAUUCCUAGUGUAGAGGUGAAAUUCGUAGAUAUUAGGAAGAACACCGGUGGCGAAGGCGGCUCUCUGGCACGAUACUGACGCUGAGACGCGAAAGCGUGGGGAGCAAACAGGAGUAGAAACCCGGGUAGUCC
Molecule: ribosomal RNA, 274 nt
Filed under: uncultured bacterium
Lineage: Bacteria
Description: partial 16S ribosomal RNA
Rfam family: Bacterial small subunit ribosomal RNA
Source: RNAcentral